Molecule: long non-coding RNA, 227 nt
Filed under: Cyanistes caeruleus (blue tit)
Lineage: Eukaryota; Metazoa; Chordata; Aves; Passeriformes; Paridae
Description: lncRNA (ENSCCEG00000005729.1)
Source: RNAcentral
GGCUGGGUAUUGUUUCUCCUGGAACACGAUGGAUUCCUCUGAGAAUCAUGGAAAAAAUUAGGUUUGACGAGCUCAUCUCAUUCCAACCCGAUGCCGUGGGCGACUGAUGGUGCUCGGUGUGGAAUUCCAGCUGGGUGGAAGUUUAAAUUUGGAGAAAAAUCUCCAUCUCUCUUCCUGACCCUGUGUUUCGAGAUGCUGCCAUAAUCAGUACUGCACCAGAAAUCCCA